GGGCCUAUAGCUCAGUUGGUUAGAGCAGAGGACUCAUAAUCCUUUGGUCCCAGGUUCAAGUCCUGGUGGGCCCA
Molecule: non-coding RNA, 74 nt
Organism: Polynucleobacter duraquae
Lineage: Bacteria; Pseudomonadati; Pseudomonadota; Betaproteobacteria; Burkholderiales; Burkholderiaceae
Source: Rfam